UUAGGAAUAUUGGGCAAUGGGCGCAAGCCUGACCCAGCCAUGUCGCGUGAGUGAAGAAGGCCUUCGGGUUGUAAAGCUCUUUCGCUUGUGAAGAUGAUGACUGUAGCAAGUAAAGAAGCACCGGCUAACUUCGUGCCAGCAGCCGCGGUAAUACGAAGGGUGCAAGCGUUGUUCGGAAUUACUGGGCGUAAAGCGCAUGUAGGCGGUUUGUUAAAUUAGAGGUGAAAUCCCAGGGCUCAACCUUGGAAUUGCCUUUAAGACUGGCAGACUCGAGUCUAAGAGAGGAUAGCGGAAUACCUAGUGUAGAGGUGAAAUUCGUAGAUAUUAGGUAGAACACCAGUGGCGUAGGCGGCUAUCUGGCUUAUGACUGACGCUGAGAUGCGAAAGCGUGGGGAGCGAACA
RNAcentral lists this ribosomal RNA (402 nucleotides) under uncultured bacterium. RNAcentral's name for it is "bacterial SSU rRNA". It matches the Rfam family "Bacterial small subunit ribosomal RNA", at positions 355 to 774 of the family's 1533-position model. The record is from RNAcentral.